RNAcentral lists this ribosomal RNA (773 nucleotides) under uncultured Acaulosporaceae. RNAcentral's name for it is "eukaryotic LSU rRNA". It matches the Rfam family "Eukaryotic large subunit ribosomal RNA", at positions 11 to 694 of the family's 3401-position model. Lineage: Eukaryota; Fungi; Glomeromycota; Glomeromycetes; Diversisporales; Acaulosporaceae. The record is from RNAcentral.
GUCAAGUAAGAAUACCCGCUGAACUUAAGCAUAUCAAUAAGCGGAGGAAAAGAAACUAACUAGGAUUCCCUUAGUAACGGCGAGUGAACUGGGAAAAGCUCAAAUUUUAAAUCACCCCGGUGAAUUGUAAUUUGAAGAAAGUGAUUUGACUUUUCAGUUUAAUCUAAAUCCUUUGGGAUGAGGUAUCAUAGAGGGUGAGAAUCCCGUUCUUGAUUAAACCUCGGAUUGCGCUAAUUCACUUUCUAAGAGUCGAGUUGUUUGGGAUUGCAGCUCCAAAUGGGUGGUAAAUUUCACCUAAGGCUAAAUAUAUGCAAGAGACCGAUAGCGAACAAGUACCGUGAGGGAAAGAUGAAAAGAACUUUGAAAAGGGAGUUAAAUAGUACGUGAAAUUGUUGAAAGGGAAACGAUUGAAGUCAGUCAUGCUAAUGAGGAAUCAACUUGGUGGUUUACUUCCUUGUGCAUUUUCUCGCUUGGCAGGUUAGCAUCAAUUUUGGUUGUCAUCAAAGAAUUAGGGGAAUGUGGCUUUUCUUCGGUAAAGUGUUAUAGACUCUGAUUGAUGUGGCGACUGGGAUUGAGGUUUGCAGCGAAUGCCUUUUUGGGCUAGUCACCUGUCUUCUGACCGUCACCUCGCUUUUGACAGCUUGCUGAUGAUCGCGGGAUUUGGCGACCUAGGAGUUAGAGUGAACAUAAAUUCGCUAAGGAAGCUGACGUAAUGGCUUUAAACGACCCGUCUUGAAACACGGACCAAGGAGUCUAACAUAUAUGCGAGUGUU